Long non-coding RNA from Columba livia (rock pigeon), 12083 nucleotides. RefSeq lists it as uncharacterized. The transcript is spliced from 8 exons. Lineage: Eukaryota; Metazoa; Chordata; Aves; Columbiformes; Columbidae. The record is from RefSeq and is a predicted model, not a curated record.
CAGGCCCGGCCCGGCCCCGGCCCCGCGGCGGGGGGAGCCCUGCCCGCCCCCCGGCAGAACCAGGCGAAGCGGGGCAGGGGGGACCCGUCCGGCUGCCGCCGCUUGCGGGGCGCUGGGCACCCCCCGGCUCCCAAAAUGGUAGCUGUAGAACUUCUGCAAUAACAGACUGAUACAAUGACGCAUGGAAAGAUUCCUGAGAACCUAUGGAGUAUGAGCCUCGACAUACAACUCUGCCCAGUCCAAGAUCACUUAUGUCUUUGUCCUUCCCUGACGGAAAGCUCUUGAAGCUUUUCUGCAUGCUGAAUGACAUCUGUAGAUGACUCUUCUGAAGGGUGCUGUUUUGUGCUUCCCGUUGAACUCUGCUCUGUGACGCUCGUCUGGCCGAACUGCAGGAGACGGGUCACUGGAGUCUGACCAGAGGGGUGUGAGGAGGAGCCGCUGGAGAUUUUGCACAGAAAAGUAUCAGGUGACUGUGAGUGAGUGCCUCUGGGACUGGAGAGGAGGUCGUCUAUGGGAAAUUAACUUACCAUCUGGCCAGAAAUGGUUUAUCUUCUUAAGAUUCACUUUUCCGAUAGUCUGUGUGUGCACCCUCCUCAUGGAGGGAGAGCGGGCUGGAAAUGCGUACGAGGAUUUGCUCGUGCAUGCACAAACACUUCUGUUGUCUGACAGAAUACUGCACUUCCUGCAAACAUUUCUGGAAAACAACUACAUCAAGCAGAAAACAGGAAUGAUCAUAAAUUGGGUGUACCUGAUUUGUCUAGUGCUACGAGAAGGGGUACCAGAAAGUAGUCGUGCAGUCCCAGUUAGCCUGUCCUGGUUUGGUUGUGUGGAGAUUCCCAUGAGACACGAAUAUCUCAGUUGUUUAAGCUUACUUACCUGACAGAAGAGGAGGGAGGCGAUUUUCUAGCAGAACUAAUCACAUUCUGGUUAAACAAACACUGCCCACAAACUGAAACAAGCCAGCGAAAGAUGCUGUAAGUCUACUCCCAUUUAAAAAAAAAAAAAAUGUUUCAAAAUUUUUGUCUAAGAAUAAACGUCAUUUAUUCUGAAGUGCAUGCCUACAGUCUGCAACAGCAAACUUUGCCCUCUUUCAGUUAAGUUUGUAGAAAUUACACUCUGUGGAGCUACUUUCUCUUACUUUCUCACUGGUUUUGGAGGUGUUCUCAUCUUAACAGGAACAUCCUAGCAGCAGAUUUGCAAACUGCUUUAGAAAUUCAUCUAUUAGGCUAUAUAUUGACUUAGGAAACGUCUCAAAACGUCACUUCGCUGCGUACUUUCCCACCAGAUCUCAUGUAGAAGUGACCUUAGAGAACCUCUGCAAGACACAGGAUGAUGGUAAGGGCGCGUGUGGUGCCUGAGUCAUAAGCUGCACACCGGCGCAGGGCAAGGGCUGGGGACAAGGUAAAUCCACUUUUUUAACGUGAGAAAUGGGAAGUGGGGUUUCUUUUGUGAGGAUGUGUUCUUGUCAGCUGUGAUGUCAUUCAUUGCUUUUGCAUCAGAAUCUUAAAUUUGUGUACAAAGAUCUCUGUUGUAGAAGCCCCAUCUUGUGGACAACCAGUCAAUGACUCCUUCAGCACAACUUAGAUUUUACACACUUAGAAAAUCUGAAGAUAUUUUCGUAGUCUUUACAAUAAACUGGAGAGUCUUCUUAUUGCUGGACAAUAUGGAAACUGCAUUCAUGUACAGAAAUCAACAAACGCUUUUUGAAGAUUAUUUCCACAGGUGGUGUGCCCAGCGGGAGUUUGCUUGGACGGGCCGACGAGAGUGGAGAGGAAUCUGACGUGUGAGCGGGGCGCCACACCAGCGCCUGUGUUGGGAGGAGAACAGAGGUUGCUGUUCCUGCAGGUGGAAGGCGGAUUAAGCAUGGGGAUGAAAAAAGAGACAAAAGUUCGUGAUCUGGACAUCAUAAAGCCAGGAAAUAAUUUCCUAGUUCUUGUCAAGAGGAGUCUGGAUGAAAUCUUCACUCUAAAGACGUAUCAGAGACGUCCGCUUCCCCGGAGGUGGAUCCUGGCCCCUGUGCGUGAACAGACCAGCGAGGUGAGGAGGAGGCGAGGCCCCUGCCCUCACCAAAGACAGCUUGAAACUCUUCCGAGCCUUGUCCAGCGGGUUCGAUAAUUCUACAGUUCCUUAUGACUAUGAGGAAGGCAGAGAAACCGUGGACGAGCGGUACGGGCACCGCUGGGUUCAGAGGGAGCGGACGCCUUCCACCGCGUGGAACUUUGGUCCUUCAAGGCGUCAUAGCUCAUGCAGAACAGAAACAAUUUGACAUGUAAAACAAGAAACACUGCAAAUUCUUUGCCAAACAAAGACAUAUACUGCAGAUGGAAGAACUGAUGAAAAUUGUUUAUAGUUGAGGAACUAAGUGUAGAUUUUUCAAGAACAAGGUUGCUCCCUUCCUUGCCAAGACAAACAAAUCUGGUAGAACAUCUCGUUGCUUUAGGCUGCCUGAGAACCCACUGGAAAGUCUGUGGACCUUUCUCCACAGAAAAUGCGUGUGUUGUCAGUACAUAAGCGUGUUGUCCACAGUUGCACCGUGGCAGCUGCAGCGGAAGUAGAAGGUUCUCAGGAAUACACGAGGGAGAACUGGAUUUUUGGCUCCUGAAACAGUAUGGAGUGCUUUUGGAAACUCUGGAAAUUUAUGAGCUGGAUGUUACUGCUACAAAAGGCUCUCUGUCGGUUAAACAAUGGUGCAAUACUGCUGUUCCCAAAGGAAAGAAACCAGCUCCAACAAGAGUAGUGUCUGUUCUGCAAUGAAGGGUAAGUGGUUCGCAAUAGCUGCAUAGAAAAGAAAGUUUAAAAGUUUAAUGUGGAAAACGAUGUUGUUGUGUGUAGCAGUGUCCACUGUCUUCAGACUGUUAUUUUUCAGGCGGCCCAGGAACACGAGCACUUAUGGCAUCACAUCAUUUUACAUCAUUAAUAGAAAUGUUUCAUUUAUAAAGUACGUCAUCAUUUUUUGCUCAAACUUCUUUUCAUUAAUUCCGAAGUUCUUUUGGCCCAACCGUCUCUGUGUACAUUUAGCUAAAAAACCAGUGGUUUCUAAUAUAGACUUUACACUGAACAAUAUAUUUAAUUGCAUUACCUGACAUUUUAAUAAACUAACUUUCUAAAAAUCUAUAUUGAUGUAUAUGCUGAUCUUUUCUGAUAAUUCGUUUCAGAGUGACAUUAUUAUGGAACCAACUGCCUCAGAGGUUGCUUUGGCUAUUUUAACUCUAUUCCUGUAAUCCACUCCAGUCUUCAUUUUUCAGCUGGUAACUUCUCCAACAAUGAACAUUAUUAUAAUAAGUGAUUAUUUAACAAAGAGUAAAUUUGACUCUGAAUUUUGUUGUCAUAUAGGUUUCUUUCUUGGUGCAAUACCUGUAAAUUGGAUUAUUUUCAGCUAACAGAGUCUUCAGAGGCUGUGCCAAUGCCUUUGCUGUACUCCUCAUCCCUCUUCUUCCAAGACUAUGCAGCAGUGCUGGCAGCAGUGGUUAUUUAUCUCCCUCACUGAGGAUACGCAGCUGUAAGAACACAGAGGGGUGUAGGCUGUGGAGUGCGUGUGAACAACCUGUCACCAAAACCCAGUGAGUCAGGGCUCCUGGGUGAGAUCUGCACGCUCCACCGGGGGCGCGUUUGCUCCCCUGCUGACAGUGCUCCCUGUGUCAUUUCGGACAGCCUGAGAUUUCCUUUGCUUCGUUUCUUCCCAGAGUGGUCUGGUUUUCUCAAAUGCGGGACCACUUCUUCUAAGAGCUGCCUUAGAUGUCAAGCAAGCAUCUCCAUGAAAGUUUUGUUAACCACCUGUAUUUAUUCAUUUUGUUCAGUGCAGCGAACUCUGAUGUCUGCUGUAACACUCCAUUUCAGUUAGAAAUGGCACAAGGGCAGUGGGCAGUUGUGAAGCAGCCUCUGAAGCUGCCAGCCAAAAACUGGAUUUACUGGUUAUUCCGAUUACUAUAAUGAUUAAUUGGGAAGAGCUUGUGAAUGCAGAAAAAUCCAGAAGAGGUGAGAAGAAAGAAACUUGUGCAAACUUCGUUUAAAAAGAGAUGCUGCCUGACAAAGAAAAAACAAUUGACUGAGACAGCUGCUUAAAAAAGGUUUUCCCAGCUGAAGGUUGCAGGGUUUAUAUGCCUUGCUAUAAUAGUUACAUAUUUGUCAGAGUUGAACUAGAAAUGGAAAUGCUCCGGUGGAUGAACUUUCAUAUACUACUGAGGAGAGUUUGAGGAGGGACUGUUGCUGUGGUCAGUAUUAGUCAAAGGGCCUGCAGUGUUUGGGCUGCAGAGCUCCAUAUUGGAAGAAGUGACAUAAAGCGGGGGGUCUGUGCCCAGAUUCCAUGGCAGAGACACAGACGCUGUUCGUUCCCAGCAGGGUUUGCGCAUGUGAGAUCCCCAGGCAGAGUUCAGCACAGUCCGUGGACAACCCGAGAGGGGAGGAGCUUGGUCCAGGUCUUUGUCUUCUCCUCCACCUUCACUUUACACUAUUGUAAAAAACACAUCAUAUGAAGUUACUUUUUUAAGAGGUAGAAAUAGAAAAUGCAAUUCAAUGUUUAAUGUUAUGCUUGCCCAGCUUAAUAGAUAGGCACACACAGGAUGGAUAUGCACUCACACAGGAUGGAUAUGCACUCACACAGGAUGGAUAUGCACUCACACAGCAUGGAUAUACACUCACACAGGAUGGAUAUACACUCACACAGGAUGGAUAUACACUCACACAGCAUGGAUAUACGCUGCGCACAACCUGGAGAUCUCCUUCUGUUUAAAAUUCUGACUCCUCUGUGCUUUACUGAUUUGCUCAUAUAGCAGGCUACCCACUCUUCUUGGCUGAUGCUGAGUAGAGUUGGUAAAAACUGCAAAGACAGCAGAGUACACUGAUGACAAUGUUUAUUAUACAUUCUGUUCCACAAGUGGAUUUUUAGGAAUCAGGUUUUUAAUUUAGUUAUUUUACUCUGCUUUAGCAAAUGGUAGUUGUUGUUUUUCAAAAAUGCCUGCCCUGUUUUAGUUGCCUUUGUUGCCACUAGUCAGCUUUUCAUUCCACAUAGUAAUGUCCACAAGGUGGUGCCACAGCUAAAAAGUUGGCAAUAACUAGAAUAUAAUUUGAUAAUUUUACCUGCUUUUUCUAACUGACUAAGGUAUCUGUGUCAUUAAAUAAUUAAUAAUUAUUUUAUAAGCAUAGUGUCAUCUGCAUUUCUAAUGACAUCACAGGUUUGCAAGCUUUAUUUUUAAAUGACCUGUGUCAGCAGAGCUGGGUCUGUCUGCUGCCUGGGUGGGAGCAACACCCAAAGUCAUGUACGAAGACGAAGAGACAGCUCAGGGUUAAGUAGAGAGCCUGAAGAAUGAAGAACGGGAUCCGCAGAGACUGAGCCCAGCAGAGCUGGGUAUGUCCAAGCAGGGCUGCCAGUGCGAACACUCCGCCCCACAGACGUGUCUUCUUGUGGAGGGCUUGAGGAGAUGAACGUCUAGAUCACUUCAGCAGGACCUGAGUCAGCCUGAGUCCAGACAAGCAGAAUAGUUCAUCCUCAACCUCAGCUGAGUCGGCUUCCAUGUGGUCACCCUCGUGUGGCUGUGGCACGUUGUAGCCUAAUUUUCAGGUUUUUUCCACAGCCAGGCUCCCCGCUCCCCUGCCAUGUGACAAUGUACUGUUGACUGUUGAUUCCGAAGGGGUAUGAAGUGCUUACGGAGGGACCUGGUAUGAGAGCGGCUGGAUUAGUAUAUACAGGUGCAGUUUAGUAGUAGUCUUUUCCUCUUCAGUCAGAGCUAAAAAGGCAGCCAUCCCAAACUGCGUUUAGUACAGGUGAUCCUGUUUCUGAGCGUCUUUCUACACAAGAUCAGACUAGAGAAAGUAGAAGGCAAUAACAGGGAAUGUAAAAUGAGUACAUGAAUUAACCACCCAGUACAGAAAAGACAAUAAAACUUAGAGAAGAAAGUUAUUUGUGUAGAUCUGAAUGGCUGUACAGUUUUAUAGCAGACUGGCAUGUCUCAGAAGAGCUGAAGGGGAGAGGAGCUUGGUCGUUGCUCUCUGCAUGUGUGUGUUCAGCUACUCUUGGCUACGUGGCCAUGGCUGCUGCUUGCACCCCGCCCUGCUCGCCUCAGGGACCUCUGCAACGCAGAUGUUUUACACAGAGAAGAAAGGAUGCUCUAUUCUAAAGGGGAUGGCAGAGCGUCUGAGAUCAUACGUUUAAAUCUCCGCUGUAUGUAAAACCCAGGUAUGCGUUGUUUUAGUAAUUUAACAACCAAAUUGAAAUCCUGAAUAUUUGCCCUUGCGAUGCUUGCGAUGAUUUUGCAUUCUUGUUGGAAAUCCCGUAAGUAUUUUUGAAACAUCAAAACUGUUUUUCUUCUAAGUCUGGUUUUCUGGUUUCUCAUCUAUACAGUCAUGAACAGAAUAUGCUUUAGCUCUGUGUCUGUGCCUAAAUCUAUAUUUAGAUCCCAUUAAAUAUUAGAAAGAGGUAGCUUGAGUAUUCUAAGUUGGGAGCGAGUCUGAGCGUGGCUCAGAAAUCAUCUGCAGAUGCACAGUGUUCACCGGAAGCAAUUGAGAAUGGCAGUGGUAUCCUGCAGGAUGUGUGCAACUCGUCUGGCUAUGUGUUGAUUUACACAGGACUACGUUAUAGAUUAUACAUUCUGGUAAUUGUGGUAUUGUUAUUGCUGGGCUGUAUCUAAGCACAGGAAAUACAUAUAAGCACACUUGAAGUGAUAGCAGCCACUGCUGUUUGAAAAGCAAUAUUUUAUUCUUGUUGAAAAACUCACACAUAGUAUGCGUUUGCAAGAGAAAAUAGACAAGUUCCUAAUUAGUGCUUAACAAGACUUUUAGGAAAAAGCUGAUUCAUUAUGGGAGUCCCAUAACCAGCAUUUGCAAAUAAAUCUACAUAAACUUGUAUUCUUAAUCAGUUUAAACAAUUUGUUUUUAGUAUGGGCUCUAAUCCAAGAUCAGGAAGGAGACAGUACAUUUCAAUCUGAAAACACAAGAAAGAUCAAAAUACAUUUUCAGUGGGUCACCAAACCCACAAUACUAGGUUUCUGUUGAGGAGAAUGAGUAAUACUAUUCUAGCUACGUAGAAUGCUGCAAGUGGGUAAUAAUUCCAUUAGCUGAUAGGGCAGAUUAUGUAUUCUGCAAGAAAAUUAUGCCAUCUAAAAACUUGCCCUAGUUCUUCAGCUCAGUAAGAAAGCCUGCCCGCCGUGCCCAUUUCCCUCAAGUCCCUCGAUGCCUACUUGUCUAAUACUUGGAUUCAGGAACAGGCUUGUUCUCCAUCCAACAUCCCCAACAAGCCCUGUCUUGCAGUUCAGGAACACAUUGGUUCCAACCUUGACCUGAAAAGAGGCGUCUGUUCCUGCCGCUGCUCCCAGGACGUGGGGUUUGGGUUCAUCCUCAGCUGUGCAGCUGGAGGUAACGUUGAUUCCGCUCUCGGAGCCUGUCUCCCCAUUUCCCGGGGACAGUGCGGGAUUCAGACCUGUCCGUGCACUUCGGAAAAUCGCCGAUCGAGUCGGGGGCCUCCCAGGUUCCCUCCUGGACAGAGAGGAUGCUAUGGGCACGCUGCGCCUGCUUACUUUGUUUCACCAGGGAAAACAGAUUAAAACUGGUGUAAAGUUUCGGUCUUGUUCCUCCCAGCAAUAGAAAAUUACAAGGGAAGAGAAUAUAAGACAAAGCUGUAACUUUAUGGAAUAAUUAGAGGAGAACGUACAAUGUUCUCUCAAAAGGCCUUCCAGCUAAAUAUUUUGUUUGUUUGAAUAUUAGGAAACAUUCUUGCCUGUAUUAAUAAAUGAGAAAAAGUAACAGUAGAAUUGUGAAACAAAUUAAUACAUCUGAAAAAAAUAUAAGCCCCAAGGCCAUAGCUAGAUCUAUAUCCAUACUGCAGCUCGAUGUUAGUUGUAUUGUGGGGUGAAAUCAGAAUCAGAGUUGACGCUAUUUGAUACUUUUCCUGUUUGUGAUCCUGGAUCUUGUAAUGCUGUUGAAGAUCAAUAGUAUCUUGCUAUACUGUGUCAAUUGAUUUCUUAAAUGAUAGUUCUGAGUGAGGUUCUAAACAGACACUGCAACAUAUAAGAAAGGAUUGCCCUACUAAUGGAUCUAAUGCUGAUGUGAUAAACAUAUAUACAAAAUAGCCCAAAGCCUAAUGAUUUGCUUCACAAUUUCAUGAAAAGCUUUUUAUCGUUUUGCACCUAUAAUAUUUAACAUUAAUAAUAUAUUUUUCUUUAUGAAUUUAUAAAUGCUACUGGCCUGAAAGUUUUGUGCUGACAGUCAAACUAACACUGAACAAAACUUCAGUUUUGUCAGAUGUCAUAUUAGCAACAAAUUCUAAAUGAUAAGGGAGCUGAUGCCUAUAAGUUAAUGUGCCUUUGCUUUGAGGGGAGGCUCAUUAUACUAUCUUUUGUAAGUGUCACCUGCUUAGGUAAGCUUUGAUUUACAAGAUAACAUGAAGAUAUGUUUAAUUUGAAAUAUGAAAUAUGAAAUAUGAAAUAUCUUCAGUAUUUUCUUGGACAGGAGUCUCUGUCCCUGGUGUCAACUUGUCAUAUCCUGUUGAGCAAAGGAGCAGCUUCAAUAGUACUUGCAGUACUUAAUGUUAUGCAAGUUUUCCAGGUUCGUUGCUGGGAUCAGGGCUAUGAAGGCAAAGGUCAGGUGAAGAUCCCUUCUUGGAACACACUAGGAUAUGAGCCCCUAUGUUUAUUUCUUCUUCAUAAUUCUACUUAUUAAAUAGACCAAUUUACGAUAGACUUUAACAUAAUUAAAUAUAUUUGUAUUUGCGUGAAUCACAGGGAAGGAACAAAUCUAUGUAUUCUGUCGAACAGCACACCUAAUGUAGCUGCAGCGUGUGUGGAUCUUUCUGCAGUACAUUCAGAUACUGCCUUUCAUUGAGCACUAAGAGAUGUUGCCUGCAAAAUAUCUCAUGGCUUCAAAAAGAGAUUGUGAUGUCUGUCUGUUUGACAUGGGAGAUAUAUUUCAUCACUCUUUUACAUGACCUCAGAAUCAUUGUGUACUUCCCUAAUCAUGAGUAUGGAGGAUCAAUGACAAUGGAAAUGAAAACACCAGACUGCGUGCCGUGCGAUUUGUAAUUAGCUCGGGAUAUCCCAAGGAAAUUCUGUAAGUUGCUUUAGUGUCUUCAUUUUGCCUUGUCUCAAAUCUAUCUGGUUUUCUUUGAGUUUGUACAAGCAACUUGCCACUAAAUUUUUGGUGGAAAUGUGUAUGUUUCAAUUGAAGCACAGUAACAAGUCCUUGUCACUAAAAUCCCAUGGGUUCUGUCAUCUGCAAGGACCCGUGUGGAGCUCCAGAGCCCUUGUGGCUGUUGGAUAACUCAGAACAUUCCUCAUCUUGCUUGAGCAGUAUGACAUAUCUCUAACACACCUGAGAUCUCUUUAGGCCUCAAAUAUUUGGUUUAAAUGUCUAAACAAUAAGAGUUUCUUAAGCAUUAGAAGACACAGAGUUUAAAGAUCAGAUUGAGCCAUGACUUCUGCAUUUACUGCUUCACUAAAGCUGCCAGAAUGCUGAGGAGCCAGCCUGCCAGAUGCACCCUUCUGUGUUUUGGGUGAGUAGCAACCUGUGCCUGGGAUCUACUGCACAAGUUAUGUCUGAAUCCAUUUGCAGUCAUUUUCGGUGACACACAACGCGGUCAGCAUGAACUGAGAAAACUUCGUCUAGCACUUUUGUCAGUGUGCCAGAAGAAAUUCCUUGGGAUUCAGAGUCUAAGGUUUCAUUUCAAUGAAUUGUCAGGAUGCUGAAUGUUAUUUAUUCUACACUGAGACUCAUUUUAAUGCAAAACACUGUCAGCUGCCAUCAGUGCAGGCAAAAUUAUAUUUCUUCCUACAUAGACACCCAUCUAGAUACAAUCCAGUUUGCUCUCCUGUCUCUGAAUUUGGUAUUACAGGGACGGCAGGAACAGAAACUGCAGCUGGCCUGGGAUUCCCUUGCGCUUGAUUGUGUGUCAGCAGCCUGAUCUAAUUAGGCAAGUCUAUUUUCCCACAAAAUAAAAUUAUUGUAGACAACAAUAUGAUGAAUUGAAAACUUCUCAAAGUUGUUAAAUUCUAUCUGGUUUUGAAAAGGAGCUGUAUCGAGCAGAUACUCAGCGAGGCAUUGCAGCCCAGUGGGCAGAGCGCUGGACGGGGAUUGAGAAAUCUGGGUUCUUUUCCAAGCUCUCCUGACUUUUAAAUGACCUUGAGCUGCCACUUCCCUGUGCUUCAGUUUCUGUGUCUGUAGGAGGAGGAUGAUAAUCCUCCGUAAUGCUUUUAGACUCCCUGAAGAAAGGAUCAGGAUCAACACGAGGUAUUUCUUGCACUGGCCUGAGCGGGAUGCAGCUGUGGUUGAAGGUGGCCAGGACUUGGUCAAUAUUCCGUGUAUUCCAGGAAACUGGGGAAACUUGGGUUGCUAGACGCCUUGCUUUCUGUUGCCUCUUAAAACAUAUUUCCAUGUAAAAGGUCUUUCUUAUUUUUCAGACCAUUACAAAAUAUCUCCAGAACAUUUCAUAGUAUUUAGUUGCCACAUUAAUACUCACGGUUCUUACUGGCAUUACUGGGAAUUGUGAUUGCCAAGUGCCUCUCAAGAUAGUACAAAUGAUAACAUAGAUAAUGUAUUUUUGACCAAAAGAAAGUGUUUUGCAAUGUUAUACUUAGCAUAUCUGGGGAAAAUUUUUGUCGGUUAGUUUAUAAGGUAUUUCAAUUGGACUUUCAGCGAGAGUUUAAAACACUCUGAAAUUUUAAAAGAAGUGUUUUUUAAAAAAAUUGUAUCUUGAUGUUACAUAUUUUGUAUUGAUACACAGCUACCAGCUCUGUGCACAGAAAGAACAGCCUACUUCCAAAACUGUUGAAUGCUUUGACCUCAAGGGCAUAGAAACUGUUGACUCAUUGUUUUUACUGCAUAUAAUAUUGGUCCUUUGUCACAUCCAGGGAAUGACAUCAUCUUCUUCAUUGUUAGCAGCAGGUUUGAAGAACAGAAGAAGCGCAGCAUUAGUUGUCUGCUGUAUUUGCUCUUAAUAAACGAAUGGGUGUCUGGUAUCAAGGUUCAGAUGAGCAUUUUUGGGGAAGGCUUUGGAGCGGUUUGUGCCCAGCGAAGAGGGCGGGGCGGGCAGGGAGCCCCGAGCCGGCCGAGCCAGGGCCACCGGUGGCGCCGGCUUCUCAGGAGCCGUAAGGGGAGGCAGGAAGGGAAGAGAGGAGGCACAGAACAAGACAGACAUUCUCUUCAAGGUCAGUUUAGUAAAAGGAGUCGCCAAACUUCUGGGAGUAAAUCGUGUUUCUCUGGAAUCUAAAACUGUGAAAGGUGAUUCUCUGAAAAUAAGUCAUCUCUAGGACACGCUGACAAAAUGGGGACUGAUUAUCUUCAAAAUACACCAGGAUAAGAAUUUUAUCCAUUCUGAAUUUGUAUUCGUGUCUAUUAAUCUCCUACUCCCUAUCACUACAGUGUCUGUGUCCUGCACUCGAAAAGUGAUCCCCUCUUAGGCGUGUUUGCUGGCACCUGCCUGGCUGUGGAAGGUCAGGUCGCUGCAGGCAGUGACCGGGUUAGUGGGAGUCGUCGUGGGGGUGAAACACCCCCUUCUGCUGCAGGAUUCUGCAGAACUCUUCCAUGGCGUGGAAAAUGCUAAAUGUUGCCUCCUGAACAGUGAAUAUUCGUGGUGAGAGAGAGUUUACUCAGGCAGAGAGAGAUUCCUCGAGAGUCUGAUAAAAUGCCAAAUCCUAAUCUCUUUCCAUUAUCCACUGCCUUUAAGUUUCCCAGAAAAAUGUGAUGUAUUUAACUGUAAAAUUAUACCUUUGUGGACCCCAAGAAGAUUUUAUGAUGGAUAUAAUUUCCUGCGUUGGCAGACUGAAUCAAACUGGACUUUGAAAAGCUGAAAUCCCUCCAGCUGUGAGAGAAGAACCGAGGCAGCGGGCUGGGAGAGCCCCGGCAAUGGGUCAAGGAUCCAAGAUCGCUUAAUCGCAGUGGCCCACACAGCAAGAGUGGACUCCAACCAGGGGUACGGGCGUGGAAAUACCUCUUAGGAUGCCAAAGCUGAAAAAGAAAAAAAGCUGAACCAUGCUGUGAAAGAUUAAAUUCAUACACGCUGACUUGGAAGCAUCAGGGACCUGAUGUAUUGUCCUUUUCACAAAGCAGGUGUAUCUGUGCUUGCACAGGUUGAGACACCUGCCUUGUAAGUAGAUGGCUGA